RNAcentral lists this ribosomal RNA (489 nucleotides) under uncultured bacterium. RNAcentral's name for it is "bacterial SSU rRNA". It matches the Rfam family "Bacterial small subunit ribosomal RNA", at positions 30 to 494 of the family's 1533-position model. The record is from RNAcentral.
AUUGAACGCUGGCGGCAGGCCUAACACAUGCAAGUCGAGCGGAAACGACUUAACUGAACCUUCGGGGAACGUUAAGGGCGUCGAGCGGCGGACGGGUGAGUAAUGCUUAGGAAGUUGCCCGGUAGAGGGGGAUAACCAUUGGAAACGAUGGCUAAUACCGCAUAAUACCUACGGGUCAAAGUGGGGGACCUUCGGGCCUCACGCUAUCGGAUACGCCUAAGUGAGAUUAGCUAGUUGGUGAGGUAAGAGCUCACCAAGGCGACGAUCUCUAGCUGGUCUGAGAGGAUGAUCAGCCACACUGGAACUGAGACACGGUCCAGGCUCCUACGGGAGGCAGCAAUGGGGAAUAUUGCACAAUGGGCGCAAGCCUGAUGCAGCCAUGCCGCGUGUGUGAAGAAGGCCUUCGGGUUUGUAAAGCACUUUCAGCAGUGAGGAAGGUGGUGAGUUUAAUACGCUCAUCAUUUGACGUUUAGCUGCAGAAGAAGCACC